Long non-coding RNA from Haemorhous mexicanus (house finch), 627 nucleotides. RefSeq lists it as uncharacterized. The transcript is spliced from 3 exons. The record is from RefSeq and is a predicted model, not a curated record. Lineage: Eukaryota; Metazoa; Chordata; Aves; Passeriformes; Fringillidae.
CCGAGCGCUCCGACCGCCGGCACCGCGGGGCAAGGAGGCGGUGGCGGUGCCCCCCCAGGGGGUGGGGGGCGGGCCGGGCCGGGCUGUACACGCACAACCCCGCAGCGACAGCCCCCUGGGUCUCGUCCGCCAGCUGAGAGAGGAAGGCAGGAGAGACCUGGAGGCUGCGCCCGGCCCGCGGAGCCCACCGGCCGUCCCCUGCAGGGCGGAAAGGGAAAGGGGAGGUAAAGGCCAGGCAUCCGUCUGUCCCAGCGCACCCAGCCUUCUGCAGGCAGAAAGGACGGUACCAAAAGUCUUCGAAAGAAGUUCUGCGAAGAGUCAGCCUCCGAGAAAGAUGGAUGGAAAGUCAUUUCCCCUGACAUUAGCCCCAGGAGGGGCUACCUCCUCUGUUUCUGCAGUCAGCAUCCGGAAAUCUGGGCACAAAAGAAACCCCAACCCUUACACGAACGUUGCGGUCCAAUUUAACCCAGUGGCAGAGGAGUGAAAAUGCCGGUGAGGCUGCUCGCUUUCCGCAGGGACAUGGCUAGAGCAGAGGGAAGGAGGGGAACCGAGGCCGAGGUUUCACCGCACCCGCAGCUCAGCCAAGCUGUUGUUUUAAAGGAGCAAUAAAAGUGAAUUAUGACUAAA